CGCCCUUAGAGUUUGAUCAUGGCUCAGAUUGAACGCUGGCGGCAGGCUUAACACAUGCAAGUCGAGCGGUAGGAGAGCUUGCUCUCUACGAGCGGCGGACGGGUGAGUAAUGUCUGGGAAACUGCCUGAUGGAGGGGGAUAACUACUGGAAACGGUAGCUAAUACCGCAUAACGUCGCAAGACCAAAGAGGUCCGUCUUGCCAUCAGAUGUGCCCAGAUGGGAUUAGCUAGUAGGUGGGGUAACGGCUCACCUAGGCGACGAUCCCUAGCUGGUCUGAGAGGAUGACCAGCCACACUGGAACUGAGACACGGUCCAGACUCCUACGGGAGGCAGCAGUGGGGAAUAUUGCACAAUGGGCGCAAGCCUGAUGCAGCCAUGCCGCGUGUAUGAAGAAGGCCUUCGGGUUGUAAAGUACUUUCAGCGAGGAGGAAGGCAUUAAGUAAUCUUGGUGAUUGACGUAACUCGCAGAAGAAGCACCGGCUAACUCCGUGCCAGCAGCCGCGGUAAUACGGAGGGUGCAAGCGUUAAUCGGAAUUACUGGGCGUAAAGCGCACGCAGGCGGUUGGUGAGGUCGGAUGUUAAAUCCCUAGGCUCACCUAGGGACGCAUUCGAAACUUG
RNAcentral lists this ribosomal RNA (619 nucleotides) under uncultured Serratia sp. RNAcentral's name for it is "bacterial SSU rRNA". It matches the Rfam family "Bacterial small subunit ribosomal RNA", at positions 1 to 636 of the family's 1533-position model. The record is from RNAcentral. Lineage: Bacteria; Pseudomonadati; Pseudomonadota; Gammaproteobacteria; Enterobacterales; Yersiniaceae.